RNAcentral lists this long non-coding RNA (1779 nucleotides) under Homo sapiens (human). RNAcentral's name for it is "HSALNT0335117". The record is from RNAcentral. Lineage: Eukaryota; Metazoa; Chordata; Mammalia; Primates; Hominidae.
CUGCUUCCUAGGGAGGGAGGCUGGGGCGGCAAGGCGGGCGCGGGUGGUCCUUGCCCCGCGCCAGCUCGCCAGGCCACGUCGCUGGCGUUUUUCCAGCGCUGGGUCACCUGCGGGCCGGCGGGUUCCCGCGGCGAACAGCUGGGUGGUAUGGAUACGCCGCUCGAGCCUCCGCAGCGUCAGGUCGCCAGGGUCCGCCCUGCCACUCGCCCCACCUUGAGCUACCUCUGAAGAAAAGAUGAUGGCCCGGUGCGGUGGCUCACGCCUGUAAUCCCAGCACUUUGGGAGGCCGAGUCAGGCGGAUCACCUGAGCAGUGUAAAGAAAGUCUGAAGAAUACUCCAGGAAAAUUGAGGAAACUAAAGCUAUUUCUACUACUGGUCUCAUAAUUGCAAAGCCAGUGCCUACCAUGAUAAGUGCUCUCUUACUUGGUAUGAAGGAAAUGAUUUUCUUCCCUUGCUAUUUUUUUUAGAAGAAGACGUAUAAGCCUUUAAGCUUAGUAAACCUUUGGGUUCUGUGCAUUUGGCCAUCAUUCCAGUUGUCAGCAUUGUGCAGGACAGGUACUUGAGGUCUGUUUUUGUGAACCAGGGACCCGAGGCACAGAGCAAGUAAGUGGAUAGAAACAAAUGCUGUAAGAACAAAUAAUUGUAUUUAAAAAUUUAUGAUUUUCAUUUAUUUUUCAGAGGAAGCAUUAAUGAGUAGGUAGUAAUUUCUGGGUAUUAAAAAACCAUCAGAGACAUUUCUUUUUCCUUAUAAAAGAAGUCAUAACAGUGAACAUUUAUAGCACUUAGCUUACUAAGGGUUUCACGUCCUAUAAUCCCCAGCACUUUAGCAGGCUGAGAGGGGAGGACUGCUUGAGGCCAGGAGUUCAAGACCAGCCUGGGUAACAUAGCAAGACCCUGUCUCUAUUUAGAAAAAUAAUAAAAACAAAGGGUUUCACAUGUAUUUUAGAAAUUAGACCUUCCGAAGUUGUGAGAUUUGUAAUAAUGUUCAUUUUAGAGACUAGAAAACUAAGCCUCAUGAAGGCCAUGUGACUUGUCCACCAUUGCACCAGUGCUGAGUGGCAGAUCUCUGGUCUGGAAGCCACGUUCUUCUCACUAUACCAUGUUGCCAUUUUUCAGCAACUGGUGCACGAUGCAUAUUCUCCAAGACAGAAGGGAAGGAGGCUUGAUUAAUUGUGGCUCAGCCUUUCCUCAUAGUUUUGGGGCUGUAAGACCUGUGCAUUGUAAGUGAACCAUAAGGUCUGUUUGCCUCAGAGCAGGUUAGUUCACACCGUGCUGCUGCUGCUUUUAAGCAAUGCAGGAUGAACGGAGCUUGGGAGCAAUUUUCUCUCACUCCCAUGGUGGCAUCUCUUCAGUUCACUUUCUUUGUACUGCUCCUCUUAGGUUUAUGGCCGUGCAGUUGUCAGUGCUCCUGUCAGUCUUUCCAACCUUCCCUCUAAAUUCCUGGCACCAGCAGUUGGCCUAGAACAUGCUGAUCUUCAGCACCCUGACAGAAAAGGCUGCUAUCACAGUGGAAAGUGUGGCUUCCUGGGCUGCCUCUUGGCAAAGGGCUCUAGCUUGUCCAGAUUUGGGUCAGCCCCAGGGUCUAUCAGUUCCAGGAGAGGUGUUGAAGGGCUGUGACAAAUGCCUGCCCUGGCAGAUGGAGGAAGCUCUGGCUAGCUUGAGAGCGCAGUGUAAUAACAGCUGCCCUGAGAAGGGACUUCCAGCCAUUCUUGUGCUCUGAGAUUGUGUCCGGAAUUGGUGGGUUCUUGGUCUCACUGACUUCAAGAAUGAAGCCGCAGA